RNAcentral lists this ribosomal RNA (573 nucleotides) under Tournotaris bimaculata. RNAcentral's name for it is "partial 28S ribosomal RNA". It matches the Rfam family "Eukaryotic large subunit ribosomal RNA", at positions 284 to 644 of the family's 3401-position model. Lineage: Eukaryota; Metazoa; Arthropoda; Insecta; Coleoptera; Erirhinidae. The record is from RNAcentral.
AGCCCUAAGUGGGUGGUAAACUCCAUCUAAGGCUAAAUAUGACCACGAGACCGAUAGCGAACAAGUACCGUGAGGGAAAGUUGAAAAGCACUUUGAAGAGAGAGUUCAAGAGUACGUGAAACCGUUUAGGGGUAAACCUGAGAAACCCGAAAGGUCGAAGGGAGAAAUUCAUUCGCGUUUCGUAGUCGGCGUGAGACGGUCGCGCGACGGGAGGUGCGCGUUCGCGCGCUCUUUCCGCGCCUUCCGUCUUUCGAUCUGUCGACGAACGCGUGCACUUUUCUCCUGGUAGGACGUCGCGAUCCGUUGGGUGUCGGUCUACGGCCCGCGGUGGAGCCCGUUCGUAUGCGGUUCGCGCCGUUACGUUCGGACCCGCGUGUGUCCCGGCUGACUCGCUCGACGGUAUGCGAAAGGUUUAAGGCCGCUGCUUCACGAAGCGUUCGACUCGCGGCAAGCGCGCCAGAUGCGUCGGCGAUCGGACCCGGUGCCGAUUCUGACCUCUGGUGACUGUUGGCCGCGAAGCUCUCGGACAGACCUUAGAACCGAUCUGCGACGCUAUAGCUUUGGGUACUUUCA